GCCCCCGUUGUCUAAUGGCUAUGACGUCAGAUUUCUACCGUGGCUUAAACCACAAAUACCUGGAGGUUGCGGGUUCGAGUCCCGCCGGGGGUA
Molecule: transfer RNA, 93 nt
Filed under: Trametes cinnabarina
Lineage: Eukaryota; Fungi; Basidiomycota; Agaricomycetes; Polyporales; Polyporaceae
Description: Pycnoporus cinnabarinus tRNA
Rfam family: tRNA
About the family: Transfer RNA (tRNA) molecules are approximately 80 nucleotides in length.
Source: Rfam by way of RNAcentral